GUCGCCGUCGCCGUCGCGGCCGCUUCCACCUCCCGCCCGCUUGGCUGCUCCCGUCUCUUCCCGCCUUGGUCCGCCCAUGCCGACGGCGUCUCUCUCGCGCUGGCCAAAAGCUUUCCUUGCUUUUGACGAACUCCAAGUACGAGAAAAAUAUAGUGCUGCUUGGUCAGAUUUGAACUUAAGAUGAUCUAUUUUUAUUGCUCACGUUUAAGUUUUCUCUUCCAAUCAACAGGUUUAGACCCAGAGAUUGCUUAACAAUGAAGAAAGUGGGAAAUGUUGGAGGGCUCAUGGUUAUGGAAGAUUUCAAAGACCUCAACUAACUGCUUCCUCCUGGACUCUGCAUCAUUAGAUACGUCACUGCUUUGAUUGGCAAACCACCAUUAUUUGAAGGUUGGAUAUCCCAAGUCCUAAACAACUACAUCAUUAUGAGUCUGAUACUGAGUUGGUGGCGGUGGCGGCAUCCAAAGGAAACUUUUGACAGCUUCAUGGGGGAGGAGCAAAUCAUGGUUUCCACGACCCCUUUGAGUUUCUCCGUAUUUCUUACCAUUUCCAAGGGCCAUGGAUAUGCAUUGCAAAGUUGAUAUGGCUCACAACAAUCUUUCAAUGGCAGUAUUUCAUUAUGUACAUUCUAAACCUCAUCAUUCAAUCUAGCAACACCCAUAAGCCAAGUAGUGGGCAGAGGAGAUCAAGAGGGACCAACAAUGCUGUUAGCUAUUUUAUAAUGAAUGUGUCUGUAAGCUUCCACCAAACCCUGUUACAUAGGGACAUGAUCAUUUGCUGCAGAAGGAACUGUAAAAUGUAUCCUUUAAUAGUGAGGGAGUCAUAUGACUCUCCAAAAUUUUUAUUACUAUUGAAGAGGAAGUUGAUUAAAGACAUGAACUUGCAACCUUUA
Molecule: long non-coding RNA, 889 nt
Organism: Neofelis nebulosa (Clouded leopard)
Lineage: Eukaryota; Metazoa; Chordata; Mammalia; Carnivora; Felidae
Exons: 5
Source: RefSeq, a predicted model, not a curated record